CAGCACCUCAAGUGGUCAGGAUGAUUAUUGGGCCUAAAGCAUCCGUAGCCGGCGCUGUAAGUUUUCGGUUAAAUCUGUACGCUCAACGUACAGGCUGCCGGGAAUACUGCAGCGCUAGGGAGUGGGAGAGGUAGACGGUACUCGGUAGGAAGGUGUAAAAUCCUUUGAUCUAUUGAUGACCACCUGUGGCGAAGGCGGUCUACCAGAACACGUCCGACGGUGAGGGAUGAAAGCUGGGGGAGCAAACCGGAUUAGAUACCCGAGUAGUC
This 269-nucleotide ribosomal RNA is filed under the name uncultured archaeon. RNAcentral describes it as "partial 16S ribosomal RNA". It matches the Rfam family "Archaeal small subunit ribosomal RNA", at positions 477 to 746 of the family's 1478-position model. The record is from RNAcentral.